AUGAGGACGGACGUGAGGAGGGGCGCGGCGGCGGCGGGGAGGGACCAGUUCCCCGUCGGCAUGCGGGUCCUCGCCGUGGACGACGACCCGGUCUGCCUCAAGGUGCUCGAGACCCUCCUGCGCCGCUGCCAGUAUCACGUGACGGCGACGAAUCAGGCUGUUAUCGCGCUGAGGAUGCUGCGGGAAAACAGGGACAUGUUUGAUCUGGUUAUCAGUGAUGUGCACAUGCCAGACAUGGAUGGGUUUAAGCUUCUUGAGCUUGUGGGGCUUGAGAUGGACCUCCCUGUCAUCAUGUUAUCUGUGAAUGGAGAGACAAAAACUGUAAUGAAGGGGAUAACUCAUGGUGCUUGCGACUAUCUCCUAAAACCCGUUCGCAUCGAGGAGCUUAGGAAUAUCUGGCAGCAUGUCGUUAGAAGGAAAUUCACUACCCGUGACUCUAUUAAUCUUGAUACGUAUGAAGAGUGCAAUAAGCCACCAAGUGCGGACUCUGACUAUGUGUACGGCCAAGUUACAUGUGGGUCGCCCGACCAAAGUGGGAGGCCCAGCAAGAAGAGGAAGGAGUACCAUAGCGAGGAGGAAGACGAAGACGAGGAUAGCAGUGGUCAAGAUAACGAUGACCCUUCGGCUCCAAAGAGGCCAAGAGUUGUUUGGUCAGUUGAACUGCAUAGAAAAUUUGUCGCUGCUGUCAACCAUCUUGGAAUUGACAAAGCUGUGCCAAAAAGGAUACUCGAGCUCAUGAACGUUGAGAAACUCACUAGGGAAAAUGUUGCAAGUCACCUACAGAAAUAUAGGCUUUAUCUCCGACGGUUAAGUGCUGUGGCAUCACAACAAGCUGGCAUCGUUGCUGCCUUGGGAGGUAGAGACCCCUUUCUGCGCAUGGAUGCAUUCGAAGGACUCCAGGGUUAUCAAGCUUUCACCUCUCCUGCAGCGCUAUCAACUUUCAGUGCACAUGGAUUGCUAAAUAGUCCUAGAAACAACCAAACAGCGGUUGUGAUUCAGGGGGUGGCUACUUCCAGGUCAAUUCCGACUGGAAGUAGCAGUUGCACAACAAAUCCUUUGAUUGGUGAUGCAGCUAAGUAUCAUCUUAGCCUACCAGGAAACCAGCAUGGGAACUUGGGACAAGGUUUAGCAACAUCGCUUGGGCAGGCCCAAUUGCAACAGAAGUGGAUGAAUGAGGGCAGUGGUGAUCUGUCCACCAUCCUUUCUGGGAAUAGCCGGGGUAAUGGCAUGCCUCGCAUGCUCCCAAGUGUCACAAGCAGUCCAUUACUACCUCCAGAUCUCGUGGAGUGCACACAGGCCAAAGUAGCCAUCCAGCCAUCAGUUCGAGCUCCAUCUGCAAGUGUAGAAAUUCUCGAAGGUGCCAUUGGAGCCUCUUCUGGUCCAUUGGAGUCUCGUGUAUGCCAGCAGAGCGCUCUUCCUUCAUCUGGAUUUUCUGCAAACAUGUUGCCUGUGCAUGGUUCAUUCAACAAUAAUGGUGCUUCAUUCAGCAGCAAUGGUGCAACCAGAUUGGGUGAUGCAUUCUCAGCAAGUUUCCGUCCAACAAAUGACCUUGUGGUCGCAAGAGGUACCAAAGUGGGAGCUAGCUCCUUCGGUGGCGCGGUACAUCUGUCUCCAGAUACCGAGCAGAAGUACUUGAGCUUUGGAAGUUCAGACAGUCUGCUUGAUCCGAAGCUUAUGUGGAGCUCCUCUCACCUGCCAAGCAAUAUUAGUGCUCAUCAUUCCAUGAGCCAAAGGUCGAAUAAUUGCAGCAUCGACAGCAGCCACGGUGGCAGAAUGUUUGGACAGACAAGCGCGAGCGCCUCGACAGCUGCUCCACAAGCAAAGUUUGACAUCCUCUUCUCAGGAGACACUUCGAUGGCAAGGAAUGCGUCCGAAUCAGGCACUCAAAGGCUGCAGAGCGAGCUCAGCUCCAGCACCUGCAGCUUCGACGGUCUUCUCAAUUCCAUGAUCAAAGUGGAGAAGGACGAUGCUGCCUUCGGCGAUGAUCUGGGGUGCGACUUCUACUCGCUCGGGGCUUGCAUAUGA
This 2025-nucleotide ribosomal RNA is filed under the name Triticum aestivum (bread wheat). RNAcentral's name for it is "partial small subunit ribosomal RNA". The record is from RNAcentral. Lineage: Eukaryota; Viridiplantae; Streptophyta; Magnoliopsida; Poales; Poaceae.